This 1028-nucleotide long non-coding RNA is filed under the name Ananas comosus (pineapple). Its description in RNAcentral is "long non-coding RNA (ACOM_LNC017287)". The record is from RNAcentral. Lineage: Eukaryota; Viridiplantae; Streptophyta; Magnoliopsida; Poales; Bromeliaceae.
UAUAUAUAUAUAUAUAUAUAUAUAUAUAUAUAUAUAUAGAGUUUAACUGGGCUACUAUCGGUAGUAAACUACUCGGUUUAAUUACUACCGAUUUGUUUUUUAUGAUAGAGCUUCCAAAUCGACGAUCGGCAUCGUUGAACAUGAUCUAAACCAUUUAAAUUAUCUAAAAAUCAAAUUUUAUAAUUUUUUGGCAUCACUAACUGAACGAUCAAAGGGUCACAAAAUCUAUAAUUUUAAUGACCGAUAUGGUGCAUUUGCUCGUUUAACGGUAUAGAAGAGUUCAAAUUAACUAAAUUUUUGUUAAAAAAUUUUUUAAACUAUUUAAAAUAAGAUCUAGACUCUAGAUCUCAAAUAUAAAAAUUGUAUCAUCACUUUUUGAAGGAUAUUCAUUUCCAGCCAUUCAUUUUUAUGUUCACUUGAUGGACAAGAGAACAACAUUGAAAAUGUGUGAAAUUUGAUUUCCAGAUAGUUUAAAUAGAUAUAUAUGUGUGUGUAGAGAUGUUAACGGGUCGGAUUCGGGGCGGAUUUUUAAAAACCCGAACCCAAACCCGACUCCAAACCCGAGAUCUGAACCCGAACCCGAACCCGACGGAUUUUAAAAAUCCAUAUCCAAACCCGAACCCGACAAAAAAUCCGAAACCCGAACCCAAACCCGAACCCGAAAAUUUGAACCCGAAACAAUUAUUUCUUUUUUCAAUAUUUCAAAAUAUAUUAUAUCAAAUCUAAAUUUUUAAAAUACAAAUUCAAAUAUAACAUCAAAUUUUUAUAUAUAUAUUAUAUAUAAUACAAAAUAAAUUCGGGUUCGCGUCGGGUACAAUCAAAAUCCAUAUCCGAAUCCAUAUCCGUCGAGUUUCUAUUUUUGAUAUCCAUAUCCAUCGGAUAUAUCUGUUUCAUUCGGGUUCGGAUUCGGAUAAAAUUUCGGAUAUCCAUACCCAUUGACAUCCCUAUGUGUGUGUGUGUGUGCACCCGUAUUAGUCUGCUUGAGGGAAAGAGAGAGUGUUACAGUCGUUUGUAAUUCCAAAAGUUUA